This 495-nucleotide ribosomal RNA is filed under the name uncultured bacterium. RNAcentral's name for it is "partial 16S ribosomal RNA". It matches the Rfam family "Bacterial small subunit ribosomal RNA", at positions 28 to 507 of the family's 1533-position model. The record is from RNAcentral.
GACGAACGCUGGCGGCGUGCCUAAUACACGCAAGUAGAACGCUGAAGGAGGAGCUUGCUUCUCCGGAUGAGUUGCGAACGGGUGAGUAACGCGUAGGUAACCUGCCUGGUAGCGGGGGAUAACUAUUGGAAACGAUAGCUAAUACCGCAUAACAGUAGAUAUUGAAUGAUAUCUGCUUGAAAGGUGCAAUUGCAUCACUACCAGAUGGACCUGCGUUGUAUUAGCUAGUUGGUGAGGUAACGGCUCACCAAGGCGACGAUACAUAGCCGACCUGAGAGGGUGAUCGGCCACACUGGGACUGAGACACGGCCCAGACUCCUACGGGAGGCAGCAGUAGGGAAUCUUCGGCAAUGGACGGAAGUCUGACCGAGCAACGCCGCGUGAGUGAAGAAGGUUUUCGGAUCGUAAAGCUCUGUUGUAAGAGAAGAACGAGUGUGAGAGUGGAAAGUUCACACUGUGACGGUAUCUUACCAGAAAGGGACGGCUAACUACGUG